RNAcentral lists this long non-coding RNA (1214 nucleotides) under Homo sapiens (human). Its description in RNAcentral is "testis expressed 41". The record is from RNAcentral. Lineage: Eukaryota; Metazoa; Chordata; Mammalia; Primates; Hominidae.
GGCCUCCAUCUUGAAAACGGAAAAUAAAAACAGCAGACCUAUGAAGGUCGAAGGGGAAGAAAAGCUGUAUCGAUUGUUGAGAUCUGGCGACUUGUUUAAAUUUCAUCAGCCUCACUUCUAUGAACUCUCAGAGCUGAUUACCAACUCCUACCACUGUUAACCCUCAUCCAGGAACAAGCUUAUGUCUUUAACAUUCUGAGUGGGCUUCAGCAUCCUUGCAUAUGUUCAAUUCUUAAAAACCUGUUGAAAUAAAAGAUCAGGAGACAUAGGAAGGAUGCCAGAAGAGAGCGUGGCCUCACGUGUACCAGCUCUCUGCUCUCCUUUGCCUUGGGACGUUCCAUCCCUGGAAGUUUCCCUGCCCACAUCUUUGUAGAGAGUCCAUUCUCCAAGCUUCAGUGUGUCAUCUGUGAGGACCGUGACCCACCUGGUACAUCGCCUCAGGGCAUUCAUUUCAGGCUCCUUCUAAAUGGCCAAGUUUUCAAGAUUGUUUUGGCUCUAGCAAAACAAGUUGGAACAUUCACAUCAUCCAAGACAACACCAACAUUUUUGUAAUGGCCUGCAAGGCCUUCCGAGAUCUACCUCCUGCAACUCAGCUUCUCCUGUGCUCUCCUUCUGGACUCACUCUGCCUCAGCAACACUGGUCCCUGUUGCCCCACCAAUAUGCCAGGUAAACCUCAGGUUCUCCUCCUGCCUUUUGCUAAGUAUAUGUCUUGAUGACAAGCCUUCUGCUGAUGAGCUGUGUUUCUGGACCGAUCAUGGUAGAAGUCAAUUAACGUGUCCCUCACUUGGGGUUUCUCAAGGCUGCACUGAUGAGGAAACUGAAACAGAAAAUCCAGAGUAAAUUCCACCAGGCCACACAGCAAGGUCUGAUAGAGCCAGGAGAGACUUUAUGAAAUCCAGACUCUCACACUAAUGCUCUAUCAGCUAGACCUCCAUGUGAGUCUCCCCAAUGUAGGUAGGAAGUGCUUUCCCUAAAAUGCUCAUAAAGCAAAUCAGAGCAAUGCUGCAUUCCAUGUGAUUUCUAAUUUGAAAUGCAAACAAUUGCCAAUUUGUUUGACUUGUAUUUAUAAUUAUUUCCUUGUGAAUUACUCAUCACUAAAUGCUUUAUAAAUAUUUUCUCUUUUUUUCCUCAAUGUCUAUGGAAUGAUCACAGCAUAGAAAAUGUUGGCUUUCAAGGAUUUAUUAAUAUCUCCUUUUGAAAUAACAUGUAUUUG